RNAcentral lists this ribosomal RNA (242 nucleotides) under uncultured bacterium. RNAcentral describes it as "partial 16S ribosomal RNA". It matches the Rfam family "Bacterial small subunit ribosomal RNA", at positions 113 to 354 of the family's 1533-position model. The record is from RNAcentral.
CCGGUUGAGGAACCUGCCUUCCAGAGGGGGGACAACAGUUGGAAACGACUGCUAAUACCGCAUGAUGCAUUGAAGUCGCAUGGCUUUGAUGUCAAAGAUUUAUCGCUGGAAGAUGGCCUCGCGUCUGAUUAGCUAGUUGGUGAGGUAACGGCCCACCAAGGCGACGAUCAGUAGCCGGACUGAGAGGUUGGCCGGCCACAUUGGGACUGAGAUACGGCCCAGACUCCUACGGAAGGCAGCAG